UACGUAGGGGGCAAGCGUUGUCCGGAGUUACUGGGCGUAAAGCGCACGCAGGCGGUCUUUUUAAGUUUUGGAGUGACAGUUGGUGGCUUAACUGCCAAAGUGCUUCGAAAACUGAGAGACUUGAGGGCUUCAGAGGGACACGGAAUUCCGGGUGGAGUGGUGAAAUGCGUAGAGAUCCGGAGGAACACCAAAGGCGAAGGCAGUGUCCUGGGGAGUACCUGACGCUCAGGUGCGAAAGCCAGGGGAGCGAACGGGG
RNAcentral lists this ribosomal RNA (256 nucleotides) under uncultured bacterium. RNAcentral describes it as "partial 16S ribosomal RNA". It matches the Rfam family "Bacterial small subunit ribosomal RNA", at positions 524 to 777 of the family's 1533-position model. The record is from RNAcentral.